This 77-nucleotide transfer RNA is filed under the name Eggerthellaceae bacterium. RNAcentral's name for it is "tRNA-Ile". It matches the Rfam family "tRNA". Rfam says of the family: Transfer RNA (tRNA) molecules are approximately 80 nucleotides in length. Their secondary structure includes four short double-helical elements and three loops (D, anti-codon, and T loops). Lineage: Bacteria; Bacillati; Actinomycetota; Coriobacteriia; Eggerthellales; Eggerthellaceae. RNAcentral also lists the same sequence under 2 other names. The record is from RNAcentral.
GGGCCCAUAGCUCAGCUGGUUAGAGCGCACGCCUGAUAAGCGUGAGGCCGGUGGUUCAAGUCCACUUGGGCCCACCA